AAUGUUCUGGAGCAUAUCAAUGGCGUAUGAAACAUUUCGAAGCAUAUCAAUAACAAAUGAAACAUAUCGGAGCUUAUCAAUGGCAUAUGAAAUGUUCCGGAGCAUAUCAUUGGCGUAUGGAACAUUUCGAAGCAUAUCAAUAACAAAUGAAACAUAUCGGAGCUUAUCAAUGGCAUAUAAAAUGUUCCGGAGCAUAUCAAUGGCGUAUGGAACAUUUCGAAGCAUAUCAAUAACAAAUUAAACAUAUCGGGGCUUAUCAAUGGCAUAUGAAAUGUUUCGGAGCAUAUCAAUGGCGUAUGGAACAUUUCGAAGCAUAUCAAUAACAAAUGAAACAUAUCGGAGCUUAUCAAUGGCAUAUGAAAUAUUCCGGAGCAUAUCGACGACAUAUGGAACAUUUCGGAGCAUAUCAAUAUCAAAUACCAAACAGAAGCUCAAACGUCGUCUUUGACGUUGCAUUCAUAUCAUUCUUAUCCAAAGCAUGUACAGAAACACAUAACCAAAGCUCUGGAUAUCAUAUCAAACAUACAGAAGGUGUAGUGGGACCACAGACAGAAUGUGAUUCAUCCAUUUCUGAAUGACCACCAGACAGAAGUCUCCCACGUCUGGGAGCUCCAUCCACCCACGUCUAGGUGAAGUCAGAGGGGGCCGGUAUAGCAUCGCAGGCUCUAUGCAUAACUCCCUUUACCAUUUCUGGCAA
This 697-nucleotide long non-coding RNA is filed under the name Musa acuminata (dwarf banana). RNAcentral's name for it is "long non-coding RNA (MACU_LNC009520)". Lineage: Eukaryota; Viridiplantae; Streptophyta; Magnoliopsida; Zingiberales; Musaceae. The record is from RNAcentral.